Molecule: non-coding RNA, 628 nt
Organism: Camellia sinensis
Lineage: Eukaryota; Viridiplantae; Streptophyta; Magnoliopsida; Ericales; Theaceae
Source: RefSeq, a predicted model, not a curated record
GAGAGCGUUGUUGAGCUACGCUUUGCCUAUUGACAAUAAAGCUAUAAGGGAGGUUCAAUAGCCACUUAAAGAUAUCACUGACAGUCUCAAGAUUGCUGGACUCAAAGCACUUGAUUCUGUAGAAAGAAAUGUGAGGCAAGCCUCUCGGGCUCUUAAGCAGGGUAAAAGUCUACUUGUUUCGGGAUUGGCUGAAUCAAAGAAGGACCAUGGGAUUGAAUUGCUUGGCAACCUUGAAGAUGGCAUGGGUGAGCUUCAAAUCUAAACAGAAGGAGCUGCUUAAUUUUGUUGGAGGCUGAGAUCUUCCUGGGGCAUUGGGUUUCUGCAGUGUUGAAGAGGAUAUGGUGGAUGGUUUCCCGUACAAAGUGCCUGAAGAAUACCAAAAUAUGCCUCUAUUGAAAGGAAGAGCCACUGUAAAUAUGAAGGUCAAGGUUAAGGACAAUCCUAACCUUUGUGUGUGUGUGCUGCAUUGUCCUGGAUGGUUAUAAUGCUCUAGUAACUGCCGGAAAUUUUGUAGAUUUGGUGGAAAGGCAUUUUUAUGAUGGCAUGGAAAUCCAAAGAGCUGAUGGUUUUGUAGUCCAAACUGGAGAUCCUGAGGGACCUGCAGAGGAUUUUAUUGAUCCUAGUAGCG